UGGGGAAUAUUGCACAAUGGAGGGAACUCUGAUGCAGCGACGCCGCGUGAGUGAUGAAGGAAUUCGUUUCGUAAAACUCUGUUCUAUGGGAAGAAAAGGACUGUACCAUAGGAGAAAGCUCCGGCUAAAUACGUGCCAGCAGCCGCGGUAAUACGUAUGGAGCGAGCGUUGUCCGGAAUUAUUGGGCGUAAAGGGUGCGCAGGCGGCUUUACAAGUUGGAUGUGAAAUAUUGUGGCUCAACCACAAACGUGCAUCUAAAACUGCAAAGCUUGAGUUAAGGAGAGGUAAGUGGAAUUCCUGGUGUAGCGGUGGAAUGCGUAGAUAUCAGGAGGAAUACCGGUGGCGAAGGCGACUUACUGGACUUAAACUGACGCUCAGGCACGAAAGCGUGGGGAGCAAACAGG
This 404-nucleotide ribosomal RNA is filed under the name Fusobacteriota bacterium. RNAcentral's name for it is "Fusobacteria bacterium partial 16S ribosomal RNA". It matches the Rfam family "Bacterial small subunit ribosomal RNA", at positions 355 to 776 of the family's 1533-position model. The record is from RNAcentral. Lineage: Bacteria; Fusobacteriati; Fusobacteriota.